AGAAGAUACAUUAAUGUGCCAUCAGUUUCUAACUUCUUUGAAAAUAGUGUUUUUUUUUUAAGCCAAUUGUAAAUAGUAUGCCUAUUCUAGAUAAAAGUAAUUUUAAGUUAAACUGUACAACAUAGCUUGAAAGUAUAGAGACUUUGUAAUACUUUACAAGUGGCCUCUGCUAAAAAUAUCUUAUCCAUAUAAUUAUUCUUCUAUUCUUUGCAUGCCCAUUUUGUGUGUUGGUUGUUAGCUUAAAGUUUGUUUUAAUGUUAACUUUUGGGUGCCAGCUCAUCAGGCAAGAAUAUUUUCCCUCAGACGUC
Molecule: long non-coding RNA, 308 nt
Filed under: Bos taurus (domestic cattle)
Lineage: Eukaryota; Metazoa; Chordata; Mammalia; Artiodactyla; Bovidae
Description: long non-coding RNA NONBTAT001113
Source: RNAcentral